CCUACGGGGGGCUGCAGUGGGGAAUAUUGGACAAUGGGCGAAAGCCUGAUCCAGCCAUGCCGCGUGUGUGAAGAAGGCCUUCGGGUUGUAAAGCACUUUCAGUGGGGAAGAAAGCCUUGGGGCUAAUACCCUCGAGGAAGGACAUCACCCACAGAAGAAGCACCGGCUAACUCCGUGCCAGCAGCCGCGGUAAUACGGAGGGAGCGAGCGUUAAUCGGAAUUACUGGGCGUAAAGCGCGCGUAGGCGGUCUGAUAAGCCGGUUGUGAAAGCCCCGGGCUCAACCUGGGAACGGCAUCCGGAACUGUCAGGAUAGAGUGCAGGAGAGGAAGGUAGAAUUCCCGGUGUAGCGGUGAAAUGCGUAGAGAUCGGGAGGAAUACCAGUGGCGAAGGCGGCCUUCUGGACUGACACUGCCGCUGAGGUGCGAAAGCGUGGGUAGCAAACAGGAUUAGAUACCCUUGUAGUC
Molecule: ribosomal RNA, 465 nt
Filed under: Vreelandella stevensii
Lineage: Bacteria; Pseudomonadati; Pseudomonadota; Gammaproteobacteria; Oceanospirillales; Halomonadaceae
Description: partial 16S ribosomal RNA
Rfam family: Bacterial small subunit ribosomal RNA
Source: RNAcentral